Molecule: ribosomal RNA, 472 nt
Filed under: uncultured bacterium
Lineage: Bacteria
Description: partial 16S ribosomal RNA
Rfam family: Bacterial small subunit ribosomal RNA
Source: RNAcentral
GACGGACGCUGGCGGCGUGCUUAACACAUGCAAGUUGAACGGUAGGACAUGGAAGCUUGCUGAAGUGUCAUAUAGUAGCGGACGGGUGAGUAAUGCAUGAGAAGCUGCAAUUGGGAGGGGGACAGCAGUUGGACACGGCUGCUACUACCCCGUAUGCCGGAAGGUGAAAGGGAGAAAUCCGCCUGAUUCGGUGCUCAUUUCCUAUCAGCUGGUUGGUGGGGUAACGGCCAAGCAAGGCGACGACGGGUAGCCGGCCUGCGUGGGUGAACGGCCACACUGGUACUGUGUUACGGUCCAGACUCCUACGGGAUGCAGCCGUGGGUAAUAUUGGGCAAUGGGGGCAACCCUGACCCAGCGACGCCGCGUGAGGGAAGACGGCCUUCGGGUUGUAAACCUCUUUUGUACGGGAAGAAGGAAGUGACGGUACUGUACGAAUAAGUCCCGGCUAACUACGUGCCAGCAGCCGCGGUAA